ACGCACGCUGGCGGCGUGCCUAAUCCAUGCAAGUUGAGCGCUGAAGGUUGGUACUUGUACCAACUGGAUGAGCAGCGAACGGGUGAGUACCGCGUGGGGAAUCUGCCUUUGAGCGGGGGACAACAUUUGGAAACGAAUGCUAAUACCGCAUAAAAACUUUAAACACAAGUUUUAAGUUUGAAAGAUGCAAUUGCAUCACUCAAAGAUGAUCCCGCGUUGUAUUAGCUAGUUGGUGAGGUAAAGGCUCACCAAGGCGAUGAUACAUAGCCGACCUGAGAGGGUGAUCGGCCACAUUGGGACUGAGACACGGCCCAAACUCCUACGGGAGGCAGCAGUAGGGAAUCUUCGGCAAUGGACGAAAGUCUGACCGAGCAACGCCGCGUGAGUGAAGAAGGUUUUCGGAUCGUAAAACUCUGUUGGUAGAGAAGAACGUUGGUGAGAGUGGAAAGCUCAUCAAGUGACGGUAACUACCCAGAAAGGGACGGCUAACUACGUG
RNAcentral lists this ribosomal RNA (496 nucleotides) under uncultured bacterium. RNAcentral's name for it is "partial 16S ribosomal RNA". It matches the Rfam family "Bacterial small subunit ribosomal RNA", at positions 29 to 507 of the family's 1533-position model. The record is from RNAcentral.